UAGGGAAUCUUCGGCAAUGGACGAAAGUCUGACCGAGCAACGCCGCGUGAGUGAAGAAGGUUUUCGGAUCGUAAAACUCUGUUGUUAGAGAAGAACAAGGGUGAGAGUAACUGUUCACCCCUUGACGGUAUCUAACCAGAAAGCCACGGCUAACUACGUACCAG
This 164-nucleotide ribosomal RNA is filed under the name uncultured bacterium. RNAcentral's name for it is "partial 16S ribosomal RNA". It matches the Rfam family "Bacterial small subunit ribosomal RNA", at positions 355 to 511 of the family's 1533-position model. The record is from RNAcentral.